CCCUCCUUUCUGGACUCCUUUCCCCCUCUCUAUCGUCCCUGCAUCGCCAGUCUGCUUCUGUUGUCUCGGCGGAUUGUUGGUCUGGGGAGAAAGGAUAUCGCGAGUGUUGGAGUUUUGGUGAGAGUUUGUGGAAGAUGGCGCCUGUUGUGACAGGGAAGUUUGGGGAGCGCCCUCAACCACAGCGCCUAACAAGAGAAGCGAUGAGGAAUUACCUGAAGGAGCGAGGAGACCAAACUGUCCUGAUCCUGCAUGCAAAAGUUGCCCAGAAAUCUUAUGGCAAUGAAAAAAGGUAUCAACCACCACUUACCCC
Molecule: long non-coding RNA, 310 nt
Organism: Salvelinus sp. IW2-2015
Lineage: Eukaryota; Metazoa; Chordata; Actinopteri; Salmoniformes; Salmonidae
Source: RefSeq, a predicted model, not a curated record